This 464-nucleotide ribosomal RNA is filed under the name uncultured bacterium. RNAcentral describes it as "bacterial SSU rRNA". It matches the Rfam family "Bacterial small subunit ribosomal RNA", at positions 30 to 507 of the family's 1533-position model. The record is from RNAcentral.
AUUGAACGCUGGCGGCAUGCUUUACACAUGCAAGUCGAACGGCAGCACAGGGAGCUUGCUCCCGGGUGGCGAGUGGCGCACGGGUGAGUAAUACAUCGGAACGUGUCCUGUUGUGGGGGGAUAACUGCUCGAAAGGGUGGCUAAUACCGCGUAAUAUCGAAAGAUUAAAGUGUGGGACCUUCGGGCCACAUGCCAUAGGAUGAGCCCAAGUGGGAUUAGGUAGUUGGUGAGGUAAAGGCUCACCAAGCCGACGAUCUCUAGCUGGUCUGAGAGGAUGACCAGCCACACUGGGACUGAGACACGGCCCAGACUCCUACGGGAGGCAGCAGUGGGGAAUAUUGCACAAUGGGGGAAACCCUGAUGCAGCGACGCCGCGUGGAGGAAGAAGGUCUUCGGAUUGUAAACUCCUGUUGUUGAGGAAGAUAAUGACGGUACUCAACAAGGAAGUGACGGCUAACUACGUG